UCCCUGGUGGUACAGUGAUUAAGACUCUGUGUUCCCAAUGCGGGGGGCUCAGGUUUGAUUCCUGGUCAGGGAA
RNAcentral lists this transfer RNA (73 nucleotides) under Capra hircus (goat). It matches the Rfam family "tRNA". Rfam says of the family: Transfer RNA (tRNA) molecules are approximately 80 nucleotides in length. Their secondary structure includes four short double-helical elements and three loops (D, anti-codon, and T loops). Further hydrogen bonds mediate the characteristic L-shaped molecular structure. tRNAs have two regions of fundamental functional importance: the anti-codon, which is responsible for specific mRNA codon recognition, and the 3' end, to which the tRNAs corresponding amino acid is attached (by aminoacyl-tRNA synthetases). tRNAs cope with the degeneracy of the genetic code in two manners: having more than one tRNA (with a specific anti-codon) for a particular amino acid; and 'wobble' base-pairing, i.e. permitting non-standard base-pairing at the 3rd anti-codon position. The record is from Rfam by way of RNAcentral. Lineage: Eukaryota; Metazoa; Chordata; Mammalia; Artiodactyla; Bovidae. RNAcentral also lists the same sequence under 1 other name.